This is a long non-coding RNA of Gymnodraco acuticeps, 1224 nucleotides long. RefSeq lists it as uncharacterized. The record is from RefSeq and is a predicted model, not a curated record. Lineage: Eukaryota; Metazoa; Chordata; Actinopteri; Perciformes; Bathydraconidae. The transcript is spliced from 2 exons.
UAAGGCAUUAAUAAGUGUUUUAUAAUGACGAAUAAAGAGCCAACAUACUGCUAAUAUUCAUGUUAAUAAACAACUAGUUGAUGGUGAAUUUGUGUACCUUAAUAUAGUGCUAUUGUGUUAUCAUAAUGUUUGCCGUUGUAUUAAUCACAGUAUUUGUGCUGUUGUAUUAUUCACAGUGCUGUACCUUAGUGUGUCCGAACUUGUACUGGCUGUGGUCAAUGUCUAGAGAACCAAGCAGUUUCUCCACAGCCUUUCUGCUGUCCACAAACGAGUCCUCAGGAAUUGCAUUAGGAUUGAGGAUGCGGUAACUGAGAAAGAAAAGUAUAAAUGGGUUAUUUAUGAGAAGCAGUCUCGAAAGUACUUACAGAGGGAAAACCCUGAUGACUUAAAAGACAAAACUGAUCAGUAAAACAACGGAAAUGUAAACCUGUGUGGUUAGGUUUGGGACUGACCGUUGUUUGAACUCAGCAUACAGGAUGCGGUUUGGGAAGCCCUUCCUGCAGAUCCUGAUCCCCUCGAGGACUCCAUUACACCUCAGUUGGUGGAGGACCAGGAAAGGAUCCAUCAAACCUGGAGAACAGAUAAGGAUUCUUGAAAGAUCUUAAAGGUCUGAUCAACAGUCAACUCACCUUGUUGAGCUGUGAAACCGUUUGGAAGGAAGCAGCUCUCCUUUUCUUGUGUUUGCCUUCAGCAUUUGGUUCUCCAGCUGAAACAACAGAAAUAAUUACACCUGUUUACAACGUACACUUACACCAUGUGUUACGACUGCCGCCUUCCUGGUCGUUUUAAAUCUGUUAACUUAUGUUAUGCAAAUGAGCUGUGCGGUUGCCCUGACGUCAUUGGCUGCCAUCUCCUGGUCCGCCUCCUGAAGAUUGUGAUUGGACUGUUGCCUUUAGUUUAGCUGUGUUUUGUACAGACUCUUUUUUUUACAUUACAUUACAUUACAUUGCAUUUAGCUGACGCUUUUAUCCAAAGCGACUUACAAUAAGUACAUUGGACCAGGAAGAUACAACCUUUGUUAGCUGUACCACUUUGAAAGUGAGGUUUUGUUUUGUUUCUUAUUUAGUAUUUAGUGUUCCCUUGUAUACAAUUAGACUCCUUUUGUUAGAGUCCUCCUUUUGUUUGGUUCCUGUGCUCUUUUGGCCUUUUUUGUUGUUCCAGGCUGCAUGCCUGCCAUUUUGUUUACCUCUGCUAUUUAAAAUAAACCCAUUAUAAUUAUACCAA